Molecule: long non-coding RNA, 850 nt
Organism: Triticum aestivum (bread wheat)
Lineage: Eukaryota; Viridiplantae; Streptophyta; Magnoliopsida; Poales; Poaceae
Exons: 3
Source: RefSeq, a predicted model, not a curated record
AUCUUGCUAAUAGCGAGUCUAUGGGGGGAAUUCCUAUUUGCCGCACAUUGCGCUAAAUUGUCGGGGCGCCGCACACCCUUCGCUCGUAUUUGAGCCAGCCCUUAUAAGGUGUUCUAUUUCUACGACUCCGCGGGAUCCCCUCGACCACCGCUCCUCUUUCCUUCCUUCCUCGUGUGACUAGCUGCUUCUUCUUCUAGAUUGGACUACUUGUUCCUCUCGAUUCACCGUCAAUCCUUGCUCCUUUGUGGCUCUCGGGGCGGUAGGUGCUCUCACUCUUCUUCUUCUCCUCAUCCCUUCGUCAUCUCUCUCGGGUAGUAGCUAGGGUCUGCUGAUCUUUUUUUGUUGGCAGAUGGUGAUUCCUGUCUAAUUUGUGAAGCAAUAGCACUUCAAUUUGGCGGUUCUUGCUCCAGGCUUAGGUUAGAUCUUGCAGUUUGUGGUUGUUCGUAAUCUACACAGAGUGAAGAUGGGAGGCUGCGGCAACCGUUCACCUCUAUGCAAUUCGACCACGAAGAAGAAUACAACCAAGUUAGUCAGUUACAAUGUUGUUUCAUUGUCCAGCCAACAAUUCUUUAUUUCAUUCGAAUGGAGAGAAAAUGUAUGUGAGCCGAAACUGAGAGCUAUCGUCUGUAUGCCCGAUGUAUUGUUAUGUAUGUACAAACUCAAAACUUGUAAUUCGUUCUGUAAGGCAAGAAUGUCAUUUGUAAUAGAGGAAGUUGCACAUUAUUUAUUUAGCAUGUUUGGAAAGUUGGAAAAUGCAGAAAUGUCUACAUACUGUGCCCGGGAAGGGAUUGUUGGUUUGUUAGUUUCUUCUUCCUCUUUCUAGUUCUACUAGUUCUAUGCAUCAUGUCUU